RNAcentral lists this ribosomal RNA (253 nucleotides) under uncultured bacterium. RNAcentral's name for it is "partial 16S ribosomal RNA". It matches the Rfam family "Bacterial small subunit ribosomal RNA", at positions 524 to 776 of the family's 1533-position model. The record is from RNAcentral.
GACGUAGGGCGCGAGCGUUGUCCGGAUUUAUUGGGCGUAAAGGGCUCGUAGGCGGCCAACUAAGUCCGACGUGAAAUCCCCAGGCUUAACCUGGGAACUGCGUCGGAUACUGGAUGGCUUGAAUUCGGGAGAGGGAUGCAGAAUUCCAGGUGUAGCGGUGAAAUGCGUAGAUAUCUGGAGGAAUACCGGUGGCGAAGGCGGCAUCCUGGACCGACAUUGACGCUGAUGAGCGAAAGCUAGGGGAGCAAACGGG